AGGAAAACGUACAGCCUGCUUCUUCUCCGCCUGCGCCAAAGCAAAAAAGAGGGCCACGGGAAAAGCCAGAAAAACCCCAGAAAUAUUCGAAUUUUCCGUGACCGCAAAGGCCCAGACGCGAAGCCCAUUGACCGUGUCCUUGUUCGUAACAGGAAAAGUGGAUCAGCCGUGCGUGUUGUGCGUUAUUGAGUGUCCCAGCAGCUCGUGUGUGUUGAGUUGAUUUUCCGGGCUCGCGGGAAGCGCGGACACACCUCCCUCGGGGUGAGGUAGUUCUUGGAAGAUUUGGCAAGGUGUGCAGUGCUGGAAACCCCCCGUCGUGGUCGUCGUAGUACCCGGUGAGGAUAACAGCACCAACAGCAACAAAUAGAAGGAGGAGCAGCGGGUGCGGAAACGGCCAGGAACGGUGCAUAAUUCGGCGUAACAUCUGCUAGAGGAAUAUCUUAUCACAAAAUGGAUAAAAGAAAAUUAUCCACAUCCGGCGAUACGCUGUAUCAAACCCUGGGACUGCAGAAAACGGCCACAGCGGAUGAAAUCAAGAAAACGUACCGAAAGCUCGCGCUUAAGUAUCACCCAGACAAGAACCCAAACAACCCAGACGCAGCGGACAAGUUCAAAGAGGUUAACCGGGCUCAUUCCAUCCUGAGUGAUCUAACGAAGAGGAACAUCUACGAUAACUAUGGUUCGCUGGGAUUGUACAUCGCGGAGCAGUUCGGAGAGGAGAAUGUCAACGCCUAUUUCGUCGUUACCUCACCGACAUGCAAGGCGUUGUUUAUGAUUUGCGGUAUUAUAACAGGAUGUUAUUGUUGCUGCUGUUGCUGCUGCUGCUGUAACUUCUGUUUCGGAAAGUACAAACCGGUGCCACCGGAGAACGCCGGCGAUUACCAUCAUUUGCAUAGAGGAGAUGGUGGUGCCAGUAGUAGCAACGCAGGGGAUGCCACGGCCGUCACUGAACAGCCAUCGCGAAGAGAAGAUUUGGCCGACCUGGACGAUAAUGGUGGUAGCAGCGCUGGUGGACCGGUAACAGCGCAACCGCAGGCUGGUCAGGCACAGGGGGCUGGUAUGCCCGUGUAUGCGAUGCCUCCGCCAUCGGCGAAUCCAACCAAUCCGUUCACCGGAUCGACCGCUACCGAAAGCACAGGCCUCAACACGGGCAAUCAACCAGUGUAUACGCCUGGACGUUAAACACAAAAUCAUAUUUCGGAUUCCCGCUGUCUACCCACGGCUUAAUGCUCUAUAAUAUACACACAAUACCACGUGCGGUAACAUAAUGGGGUAAUUAAUGUCGCUCCACUACGUUCGUUUGUUUGUCUACAGAUUUGCUACAAUUUUGAAGCACUCGAGAAAGCGCUUAGCCCCCCCAAAAGCUCUUCACGUCCUCAGUUUGUGCAACACAACAACUGUUGUUGCGAAUUGCUUGUACAUCCUUUACCAUCAUCCUCCUCGCCAACCGUUCCUGGAUUGAGAAAACGUAAUCGCAAAUUUGAUGUCCUCGUAUUAGAUAACGCCGUAUGAAAUGAAGAUAAUAAGCAUCGCCAUUAAAAUCCCGCUCCGUACGAGAUGUCGGUUCGAACGAAUGACGAUGACCAUCAUCCCUAAUGCAUUACUUGUUCGCUCGCCCGCUCGCAGCAACAACAUACCCUACACACAACAAACUCCCAUUGUACCACGCGUAUUUGCACGACUCGGAUCUGAUGCACCGGAACCUGUGCAGCGCUACAAUAUGAAGUAACAAUAAUAAGAAAUCGUAAAACAGAACCAGCAGAUUCCCCUUCGCCGACGAUGGAGACGGCGUCCCUUCGCAAGACACACACACAACAUGACACGGUGGAACAUGUUUCGAGUGACAAAAGACAAUUUGUAGUUUACCGUUUUUAGGAAAUAUUUAGUUUUUGCCACCAAACCAGACACGUAACAGUAUCAACAGCAGCAACUUCCUACGCCUCCCUUUCACAUGCGGCCAGCACGAGUUCGAAUCGCAUGGCGGGAAGGUUGGUGCUGCUGUUCGCUGCAGUGAACGUUGUGCAUAUAUUUGUGUGUGUGUGUCUGUUUGUGUGUCAGUAAGUGUGUUUUUUAGUAUUUCAUUCUUAAAUACUGAUAGCACCGGAAAAGGGAGCAGAAAUCAAAAAAAUCCUUCCCCUUUCGACUUCGAACUUCUGCAAUCAUUCGCCGUUGGCGCGAAACGACUUAUUAUUGAUCAGUAUAGCUGUAUGUUUUUAGUGGAAACGGUAUAACAAAUCAAUAGAUCAAGAACUAGAGAAGGAAACAAAAUAGAUUUCCCUCUAUACAAUUCGAAACCAAAAGCACACGAAUGGUGGCGAUUUGUUUGUGGCACCAAUUUUAUCUCUUUUUGUGCUCAGCGAAGGGAAAACAACAAAAAUAUUGAACUCCAAAGGAUGGAUGAGGUCGAUUAAUAAGCGUUAAGGUGGGGUGGAUAGCAGCGAAAGUACUCCGUGGAGAGACAAAAAAAAAAACAAUAAAAAACAACACUUUUAUCCUAAUUUA
RNA transcript from Anopheles darlingi, 2502 nucleotides. It is a transcript of the gene named dnaJ homolog subfamily C member 5 homolog, with no coding region annotated. The transcript is spliced from 9 exons. The record is from RefSeq and is a predicted model, not a curated record. NCBI's taxonomy places the organism in Eukaryota, Metazoa, Arthropoda, Insecta, Diptera, Culicidae.